This 890-nucleotide ribosomal RNA is filed under the name Vermiviatum covidum. RNAcentral's name for it is "SSU rRNA". It matches the Rfam family "Eukaryotic small subunit ribosomal RNA", at positions 292 to 1192 of the family's 1831-position model. The record is from RNAcentral. Lineage: Eukaryota; Metazoa; Platyhelminthes; Tricladida; Geoplanidae.
UAUCUCUUGAAAUGGCUGACCUAUCAACUUUCGAUGGUAAAAUCAAAGUUUACCAUGGUUGUAACGGGUAACGGGGAAUCAGUGUUCGAUUCCGGAGAGGGAGCCUGAGAAACGGCUACCACAUCUACGGAAGGCAGCAGGCGCGCAAAUUACCCAAUACCGGCUCGGUGAGGUAGUGACAAUAAAUAACAAUAUGGACCCUAGUGGUUUCAUAAUUGCAAUGAGAACAUUUUAAAUACUUUAUCAAGUAUCAAUUGGAGGGCAAGUCUGGUGCCAGCAGCCGCGGUAAUUCCAGCUCCAAUAGCGUAUAUUAAAAUUGUUGCAGUUAAAAAGCUCGUAGUUGAAAUUGGGGAAUUGGAUUACUAAAGAUCUAUGAUCGAUGGUGAUUUAAUCCUUCAUGGUCCUGUAUAUCAGUUGAGUCCUUUAUUGGAUUUGAUUGGUGACGGACAAGUUUACUUUGAAAAAAUUAGAGUGCUUAAAGCAAGCUUAUGCUUGUAUAUUGUUGCAUGGAAUAAUGAAAUAGGACUUCGGUUUUAUUUUGUUGGUUUUCUUAACUGAAGUAAUGAUUAAAAGAGACUGCCGGGGGCAUAUGUAUGCUGGCGAUAGAGGUGAAAUUCUUAGACCGUCAGCAGACAAACUACUGCGAAAGCAUUUGCCAAGAAUGUUUUCAUUAAUCAAGAACGAAAGUCAGAGGAUCGAAGACGAUCAGAUACCGUCCUAGUUCUGACCAUAAACUAUGCCAACUGACAGUUAGCUAAGGAAAUUUAUUACUCCUUGCUAGAAGUCACCGGGAAACCUAAGUUAAUGGGUUCCGGGGGAAGUAUGGUUGCAAAGCUGAAACUUAAAGGAAUUGACGGAAGGGCACCACCAGGAGUGGAGCCUGCGGCUUA